GAUGAACGCUGGCGGCGUGCCUAAUACAUGCAAGUCGAGCGAACAGACGAUGAGGUUGCUACACGGACGUUGACGGCGGACGUGUGAGUAGCAUGAGGAUAACCCACCUAUAGGACUGGGAUAGCUUCGGGAAACCGGAGCUAAUACCGUGUACUAUAUUCAACCGCAUGGUUGAAUAGUGACAGACGGUUUUGCUGUCACUGAUAGCUGGAUCCGCGCCGGUUUAGCUGAUUGGUAAGGUAACGGCUUCCUAAGGCGACGAUGGGUAGCCGACCUGAGAGGGGGAACGGCCACAGUGGAAGUGAGACACGGUCCAGACUCCGACGGGCGGCAGCAGCAGGGAAGCGACCGAAAUGGGCGAAAGCUUGACGGAGGAACGCCGCGUGAGUGAUGAAGGUCUUCGGAUCGUAAAACGGUGUUAGUAGGGAAGAACAAUUGUGUAAGUAACUAUGCACGUCUUGACGGUACCUAAUCAGAAAGCAACGGCUAACUACGUG
This 497-nucleotide ribosomal RNA is filed under the name uncultured bacterium. RNAcentral describes it as "partial 16S ribosomal RNA". It matches the Rfam family "Bacterial small subunit ribosomal RNA", at positions 28 to 507 of the family's 1533-position model. The record is from RNAcentral.